Molecule: ribosomal RNA, 253 nt
Filed under: uncultured prokaryote
Description: partial 16S ribosomal RNA
Rfam family: Bacterial small subunit ribosomal RNA
Source: RNAcentral
UACGUAGGGUGCAAGCAUUAAUCGGAAUUAUUGGGCGUAUAGGGCGCGUAGGCGGAUCAGUAAGUCGGAUGUGAAAUCCCAGGGCUCAACCUUGGAACUGCAUCCGAAACUGCUAGUCUAGAGGGUAGGCGGAGAAAACGGAAUUCCACAAGUAGCGGUGAAAUGCGUAGAGAUGCGGAGGAACACCGAUGGCGAAGGCAGCCCCCUGGGCCAACACUGACGCUCAGGCACGAAAGCGUGGGGAGCAAACAGG